Molecule: long non-coding RNA, 1863 nt
Organism: Catharus ustulatus (Swainson's thrush)
Lineage: Eukaryota; Metazoa; Chordata; Aves; Passeriformes; Turdidae
Exons: 7
Source: RefSeq, a predicted model, not a curated record
AUAAGAUUGCAUUCUAAGGAUGUUUUCUUUAUAUUUUUAAGACAAUAACAGCACAAUAGAGAUUUAUUAUAAAAGUAAACCACUACCCUAAAAAACUCACCCUUCGUCCCAAGAAGCCUAAUGCGUGCUUAAGGUGCUUUUUUGUCCCCUCCAUGAAAUGCUGAUGUCAUUGGACCCAUGGUAUUUCUAGAAGAAUGGUGUGAUGGAAAGGAGGUUUUCAGUGAUGUCGAGUACGUUGUGCAUUCAGUACUUCAUGGAAGGACUAUCACAUGUCGAAGAAUACUUGGUAUACACAAGUGGAUUUUCCUGAAAGCCAUACUGGCUCGAGCAGUUUCUAGUAAUGCGAAUGUGACGUGUCCUGAAGAAAUUCCUUGCAACAGGAGAUAAAACAGAGAGAUGUUUGAAUGCUGCGUCUGAAUAGAAGAAAAAUGUGGUUUAUAGGAAACAAGUAGGAACAAGUACUUUUGGCUUUUUCAGUGAUGAAUUGGAACACUGUCAGAACUGCCUGACAAAUGUGGAUGAUGUAACCAGAAAGAAGUGUAAUACCUGAAGAGAUGUUGUGGCAUGGAGUGGGUUGCCAUGCUUUUAAAAACCUGCUGAAACAGCUGCAAUUUUGUUCAGUAGAUGCUGUCUUCAGAAGCUGCAUGUAGACCAAAAUUACUGUCUCUGCAUAUUUAAAACUGUCUUUCCAAAACACUUAACUGUCUUCUCUAGGAAGUGUAGCAGUAUUAAGGAAAAGAGUGUUGAGCUUCAGUACAUAGAAAUCCCUUUGGUUAUUUACCCUUUUAAAAUACCAUAUGGGUACACAGUCUUGCAGAUACUGGAGAUUUGUGAUAACUCAAGAGUGAAGCUCACCCUGUAAAGACAGGGUGAAAGCAAAGAAAAAGACAAUGUCCUAAUUAGUAUGUACAAUGUAGAUACAACUUGCAUCACUGUAUCUAGUGGGGGAAUGAGGAGUUUGGGUUGAGGACUGCCACUUCAGCAGAAGAUGACUGAUACCACAACACUGGAACUGCCCUUUGAGGAGUACAAUGGCAGCAGUACUUGCUUGCUGUCUGGGGAAAAGAGAUUGGUAGUGGGAAUAGAGUUAAAUACAUUGGAACUUGGGCUUUGAACAGUCACUUGAUACGUAUUGGUGCUGUAAUCACAGUAGCAGCAUAUUUGCUCUAUUCAGCAAACUGUUUUCCAUAGAGAAUGAAGGAUCAUAAAUUGGUCACCAAGUAAAUGUAAAGACAACACAUGGUAUAUAUAAGAUGAAAUUGCCCUUAAAGCAUGAAUUUCAAGCCUUAUUGUCAGGAAUUCUUUAUACAGGCCGAAACAUGAGAAUAGCAUAAUUAAAAAGUCAUAGACCUGCUAUUACCGAAUCAUUUUGAAAUGGUCCAAAAUAUAGAAAACGACCCUAUAGCUUAUGGGGUGUACCUGUUCAUCAGUGACAAAUCCCAUGUAGAAUCAAAUUUUCUGUCAAAGUAGCGAGAAGUAUAAGCAUUACCAGGGGACAGGACAUAAAGCAUUGGAAAUGUCAAAAAUAACUAUCCAUCAGGCUACUGAAGUUGGGUUCUAAGGAUCCGACUGCAUUGGCGCAUUGAGCAUCUCCUGUGGUUUGCUUAUUAAGCAGUAGCCUGCUACUUGGCUAAAGGCUGCUCCUUUUGAGUAAGGAAUGGUAAAUCAGUCUGUUGAAUAUCAAGAUCUGCAGAAAUAAACUCGAAAAUAGUUUUAUCUUCAUUGCUUUCAAUAUUACUUCUUUACUGUUAACAAAUGUUACUGAGAGUGGUGCAUAUUUUCAUGUACCAUGUUUUGUACGUGCUUGUGAAUAAAGAUGAGGAUGUUAAAGUCAUGGCUGGUGCACACCAGCUGUGGAUCACA